AGUGAAGUGAUACCAUGAUGAUAAUGUCGUGUCAGAAACAACCUAUGAGACAUAACCUCAGUUUCUGUACGCUUAUAUUAUGAACAUACAGAAAAAAGUCCAUUCAAAAAUACCUCAUUGCGGGCUUCAAAACAAGACAUAAAUCAAGAUAGCUCCCUUGGAGUCAAAGGAGCUACACCAACUUACAUCAGCUGAGUGAACAGGGGCUGCUAACAGGGAGUUUCGCAAGGGAGUUCUCCAGGUGGAGGAGCAAAUACAGCAUCCUUGGGGUGAUCCACUAGAGAAUAAGAACCUGAUGGGGGACCUAUACCAAAGGUUGAUCCAUAAAGUAGCCAUAGGGCCUAAAAAUGCUGUCUUGGAAGGAAAACAGCAAGAAGUGAAUGAGCUACAGAGCUGGGAAUUGAAAGGAUGGUAACCAGUGAUUACUGUGCUAAUAAGCGAUGGUCACAUAAACACCACCCUAUACCGGAAACCCACUGACCGCUAUACUUACCUACAUGCCUCCAG
This is a long non-coding RNA of Mauremys mutica (yellowpond turtle), 507 nucleotides long. RefSeq lists it as uncharacterized. Lineage: Eukaryota; Metazoa; Chordata; Testudines; Geoemydidae. The record is from RefSeq and is a predicted model, not a curated record. The transcript is spliced from 3 exons.